This 471-nucleotide ribosomal RNA is filed under the name uncultured bacterium. RNAcentral's name for it is "bacterial SSU rRNA". It matches the Rfam family "Bacterial small subunit ribosomal RNA", at positions 364 to 832 of the family's 1533-position model. The record is from RNAcentral.
UUCGCAAUGCCCGAAAGGGUGAACGAGCGACGCCGCGUGCGGGAUGAAGGGUUUCGGCUUGUAAACCGCUUUUCUUUGGGAAGAAGGUCUGUCUCGUGCAGAUGGGCUCGACGGUACCAGAGGAAUAAGCCUCGGCUAACUCCGUGCCAGCAGCCGCGGUAAGACGGAGGAGGCAAGCGUUGUUCGGAAUUACUGGGCAUAAAGCGCGUGUAGGCGGCAUCGUAAGUCGGGUGUGAAAUCCCUCGGCCUAACCGAGGAAUUGCGCCCGAAACUACCUUGCUUGAGGACCAGAGGGGAGCCUGGAAUUCCUGGUGGAGCGGUGAAAUGCGUUGAUAUCAGGAGGAACACCGGCGGCGAAGGCGAGGCUCUGGCUGGUUACUGACGCUGAGACGCGAAAGCUAGGGGAGCAAACGGGAUUAGAUACCCCGGUAGUCCUAGCCGUAAACGAUGGGCACUAAGUAGAGGGGUUUU